UUAUGCUAAUACAAAUAUUACUGCAAUGUUUAACCCUGACAUACUUGUGAAAGCAUAUCUGUAGGAUCAGUUCCUAGCAGUACAGUAGGUGUGUCAAUGGUAUGUGCAUUUUUUAUUUAACUAGGUUGUGCCAUCUCUUCCUCUUAAAGAAUAUCUCAUCAAUAGUGAAGGAGAACGUCUCUUUCCACACAUCCUGAUAUUAUGGAAAUUUAAAAAUUUUGCCCAUGUGAUGGGUUAAAAUGAAAUAGGCUUCUUGAUGAAUCAUAAAUAAUUGCCCAACUGAAGAGCACUGAGGAAAGCUUAUAACAGAGAAAACUGCAUUUAUUGACAU
Molecule: non-coding RNA, 331 nt
Organism: Delphinapterus leucas (beluga whale)
Lineage: Eukaryota; Metazoa; Chordata; Mammalia; Artiodactyla; Monodontidae
Source: RefSeq, a predicted model, not a curated record